This 112-nucleotide ribosomal RNA is filed under the name Caerostris darwini. Lineage: Eukaryota; Metazoa; Arthropoda; Arachnida; Araneae; Araneidae. The record is from RNAcentral.
AACGGCCGUACCAUGCUGAAUAUACCGGUUCUCGUUAGAUCACCGAAGUUAAGCAUCAUUGGGCGCGGUCAGUACCUGGGUGGGUGACCACCUGGGAACACUGCGUGCCGUU